RNAcentral lists this ribosomal RNA (253 nucleotides) under uncultured bacterium. Its description in RNAcentral is "partial 16S ribosomal RNA". It matches the Rfam family "Bacterial small subunit ribosomal RNA", at positions 524 to 776 of the family's 1533-position model. The record is from RNAcentral.
UACGUAGGGGGCAAGCGUUGUCCGGAAUCAUUGGGCGUAAAGAGCGCGUAGGCGGUCCGGUAAGUCCGCUCUGAAAGUCCGGGGCUCAACCCCGGGAGGCGGGCGGAUUCUGUCGGGCUAGAGUCCGGAAGAGGCGAGUGGAAUUCCUGGUGUAGCGGUGAAAUGCGCAGAUAUCAGGAGGAACACCAAUGGCGAAGGCAGCUCGCUGGGACGGUACUGACGCUGAGGCGCGAAAGCGUGGGGAGCGAACAGG